CUGGGACCUUCUCUUUCCCACUUUCCUUCACUAUUUCUCAGGAUCACUUCAUGAAACCAACAAUCCUCAGCCACAUCACAGGCUCUGUUUUAGAGGAGCCACACGAAGAAGGCUUCCGAGAGCAAAGCAGCGUGUGCUACCCACAGCAGAGCUCUCCCCAAACUCGGCCUUCUGAGGGGCCUAGAGGACAUGCCCAGUGCUGCCGUUUCUUGCAGAGGAUGAGGUGUUCUACAGUCACUCGAGACCCAGCAGGAGGGGGACCUGG
RNAcentral lists this long non-coding RNA (265 nucleotides) under Cavia porcellus (domestic guinea pig). RNAcentral describes it as "lncRNA (ENSCPOG00000038669.1)". Lineage: Eukaryota; Metazoa; Chordata; Mammalia; Rodentia; Caviidae. The record is from RNAcentral.